AGUGAACGCUGGCGGUAGGCCUAACACAUGCAAGUCGAACGGCAGCACAGUAAGAGCUUGCUCUUACGGGUGGCGAGUGGCGGACGGGUGAGGAAUACAUCGGAAUCUACUUUUUCGUGGGGGAUAACGUAGGGAAACUUACGCUAAUACCGCAUACGACCUACGGGUGAAAGCAGGGGAUCUUCGGACCUUGCGCGAUUGAAUGAGCCGGUGUCGGAUUAGCUAGUUGGCGGGGUAAAGGCCCACCAAGGCGACGAUCCGUAGCUGGUCUGAGCGGACGAACAGCCCACAGUGAAAGAGAACGAUGAGCCAGACUCGGACGGAGGCAAGGAGGGGGAAAUUGCGGAAAAGGGGCGAAGGCCAUUUCCGGCAAUGCGGGGGAGGGAAAAGGGGCUUUGGGGUGUUAAAGUCGUUGUGUGGGGAAAAAAAAGCAGCAUUUGAAGCACCCGCUGUAAUGACGGUACCCAAAGAAUAAGCACCGGCUAACUCCGUG
Molecule: ribosomal RNA, 493 nt
Filed under: uncultured bacterium
Lineage: Bacteria
Description: partial 16S ribosomal RNA
Rfam family: Bacterial small subunit ribosomal RNA
Source: RNAcentral